Molecule: long non-coding RNA, 2057 nt
Organism: Salvelinus sp. IW2-2015
Lineage: Eukaryota; Metazoa; Chordata; Actinopteri; Salmoniformes; Salmonidae
Source: RefSeq, a predicted model, not a curated record
UUAACCAAAAUAUGCCACAAGACCUAGAAUUGCCUUAUGUGUAUCCCACAAAAAAAGGUUCACUGUUAUAAGCUAACCUUUUUUAUGAAUUUAAGCAACAUUUCCAGGCUUAAUUUCCCAUGGAAAAUUUCCGGAAGAAAUGUACCGUAAAUUUAAUGGAAAGUUUCUGACCCUUUGCAACCCUCCUUACCCCUAAUGUCAGAGUCACUCGUACUCCCCUGGCCACUCCUAUAGGGGAAAUUCAUGGGUGAAUGGGUUUUUAGGAUAAACGGCAAAAAUAAGGUCUGAGGUUAAAGAUCUCCUAAACCUGUGUUUACCACAGACCUUAUUUUCUGUUUAUCCAAAACCCAGCAGAUCCGACACCUUACACUUGAUUACAGCUGCACUACAGGGUUUGACAGGCCGUUAGCUUAAAUUAAGACACAGCGGAGCUGGCGAGAGAUAUGGCUCAGAAAACAUUCCUCAAUCCAGGGAUGAGAAAUUGCGUUGUACUCGGAAUUGUUCCAUUAUCCCAACUGUUACAGCGAGAUGAUUGAACAUAGCUGCCGGAAAUAGCAGUAAUUCAAUCUUCUCGGUGUAACAGUUGUGAUAACGGGACAUUUWAAAAAAAUCAACACUCACAGCCGACGAAGAUAUUAACAUUUUAUAUUCAUCCAAUGUCUGGCAUGUUUUUGGAUGACGUGAUAACAUCAUCACUGCUCAUGCUUCUCCCUGUACACACUGACUGCUAGCGAGCAUGUGUAAACCGGAUGCAAUCCAGAUCUGUCCAAAAUAAUCCCAAUGCGUUUCUAUGGGUUUACAAUGGACCUAAACUUGUCGCCUGCCUUCCUACCUUUGUUAGGUCGAAGACAUGAGCAUCUCCUCAUUAUAUAAAGAUCUCUGUAUGGAGGUAAAUCAUUGACAUAAUGAUUUGAGUGUGUAGAAUAGAUUUGUAGUUGUAAACAMAAUUUGCAAGUGUGUAACUGAUCAGUUGUGAACAUGAAAUAAUAAUCUGUAGUUGUGAUCGCAUUCGCAAAUGUAUUAUUUAUUCUGUACACCUGCGCAUGUCAAUUUUGUGUGCUCAGACUUUUGGCAGUGCUUUAGCGCCCUACCGUGACAAAAAUAUUUGUAGAUGUGCAAACAACAAUUACUAAGGAGAGAGAGAGCAGGAGUUCUUGGAGGGACCUGUUUCUUCUAACCAAUCAGAUGAGGUUUUUAUAGACCAGCAUACUCUACGCUGGUUGGUUGGUGACAGCUCACAUGGACUGUGAUCGUCUGACGCAACCCCAUGUCAAUCACGACGUGUAUUACUAGGUUACCACUGAGACUGCUUGCACAAAGUCCACCAAAGAAACCCAACUGUUAGCUGUCAUGGCAGGCUGAAAUCCACUCCCGAAAGGACCCCGUCAGCUCCACAAUGCCCCGGGGGAUGCGAAGGACAUCCAGAACACUCUGGCAAAAGCAUCAACACCAUUGAAAACCCAGUCAGCAAGCCUCAGCGGAGAACCUGAAGAAUAUCUUCUCACUCCAACAUCAGAGAAUUGCUGCACAAGGCUCUGCAGAUGGACAAGACGGGCGGGCGGGCAGGAAGAUACAAACCCCGGAGGCUUCUGUGAAAGUCGAUCAAAUAAAGCAAUUUGGAGAGCCUGACACAGAAUUGAAGGUCCAGAAGAUCCAACAUGCACCUGGUUUGCAUCCCAGUAUUGUGUUAAUUGUUUUCACAGCCCUGUAAGUAAUGAGACUUCAAGACUGUGACCAUACAAUUAGAAUUAACAUUACUAUUCAUGUGUGGGCUACUAUGCCAUCUAUCUGGAGUUAGGGUGACCACAAGUCCCUGAUUGUGCGGACAGUCCCACAUUUUGGUCCUUUGUCCUGCAACUAAACAAUCAUGUCCCGCAUUUUAUCAACAAAUUCAAACACCACCAAUUUCACUUUUUGUUGUUGUUGAUUAGUCCUGUAUUUCAGUCAGACAUUCCAACCGGUCUCUUGCAUGCACGUUGCACUGAUGAAAACAUAUACAGUACCAGUCAAAAGUUUGGACACACCUACUCAUUCAAGGGUUUCUUUAUUUUUUACUA